RNAcentral lists this ribosomal RNA (325 nucleotides) under uncultured eukaryote. RNAcentral describes it as "partial 18S ribosomal RNA". It matches the Rfam family "Eukaryotic small subunit ribosomal RNA", at positions 1470 to 1796 of the family's 1831-position model. The record is from RNAcentral.
CCCUUAGAUGUUCUGGGCCGCACGCGCGCUACACUGAUGCAUUCAACGAGCCUAUCCUUGACCGACAGGUCCGGGUAAUCUUUGAAUCUGCAUCGUGACGGGGAUAGAUUAUUGCAAUUAUUAAUCUUCAACGAGGAAUGCCUAGUAGGCGCAAGUCAACAGCUUGCGUCGAUUACGUCCCUGCCCUUUGUACACACCGCCCGUCGCUCCUACCGAUUGGGUGUGCUGGUGAAAUGUUCGGAUCGGCCGUUUGUCGCGGUUUCCGCGGCUCGUGGCUGAGAAGUUCAUUAAACCCUCCCACCUAGAGGAAGGAGAAGUCGUAACA